AAAAAGAGGCGUGGCGAUUUGAUACCGGAUUGUGGGCCACGUUAAAUAUGCCGCUAAAAGGUCAAUGCUCGGGACCC
Regulatory RNA element from Planktotalea frisia, 77 nucleotides. It matches the Rfam family "Alpha-proteobacteria SAM riboswitch aptamer". Rfam says of the family: This family is a riboswitch found predominantly in alpha-proteobacteria that binds S-adenosyl methionine (SAM). This SAM riboswitch is located upstream of the metA and metC genes in Agrobacterium tumefaciens, and other methionine and SAM biosynthesis genes in other alpha-proteobacteria. NCBI's taxonomy places the organism in Bacteria, Pseudomonadati, Pseudomonadota, Alphaproteobacteria, Rhodobacterales, Paracoccaceae. The record is from Rfam.